CCUACGGGAGGCAGCAGUAGGGAAUCUUUCACAAUGGGCGAAAGCCUGAUGGAGCAACGCCGCGUGCAGGAUGAAGGCCUUCGGGUUGUAAACUGCUUUUAUAAGCGAGAAAUAUGAUGGUAACUUAUGAAUAAGGAUCGGCUAACUACGUGCCAGCAGCCGCGGUCAUACGUAUGAUCCGAGCAUUAUCCGGAGUGACUGGGUGUAAAGAGUUGCGUAGGUGGCAUAAUAAGUAGCUAGUGAAAUCUGGUGGCUCAACCAUUCAGACUAUUAGCUAAACUGUUAAGCUCGAGACCGUUAGGGGUAACUGGAAUUUCUAGUGUAGGAGUGAAAUCCGUAGAUAUUAGAAGGAACACCAAUAGCGUAGGCAGGUUGCUGGGACGGUUCUGACACUAAGGCACGAAAGCGUAGGGAGCAAACGGGAUUAGAUACCCCUGUAGUC
RNAcentral lists this ribosomal RNA (442 nucleotides) under uncultured bacterium. RNAcentral describes it as "partial 16S ribosomal RNA". It matches the Rfam family "Bacterial small subunit ribosomal RNA", at positions 338 to 795 of the family's 1533-position model. The record is from RNAcentral.